GGCUCGCAAGCUUGGUUGGUAAAGCACUCGUCUAGCAUACAAGAGUCGUGGGUUCGAAUCCCUCCUGAGCGU
Molecule: transfer RNA, 72 nt
Filed under: Aedes aegypti (yellow fever mosquito)
Lineage: Eukaryota; Metazoa; Arthropoda; Insecta; Diptera; Culicidae
Rfam family: tRNA
About the family: Transfer RNA (tRNA) molecules are approximately 80 nucleotides in length.
Source: Rfam by way of RNAcentral